UAACAUAUCCCUGGAUGAGAGCAGUGUC
RNAcentral lists this non-coding RNA (28 nucleotides) under Rattus norvegicus (Norway rat). The record is from RNAcentral. Lineage: Eukaryota; Metazoa; Chordata; Mammalia; Rodentia; Muridae.